Carassius gibelio (silver crucian carp) is the source of this 3043-nucleotide RNA transcript. It is a transcript of the gene named cytochrome P450 2J2-like, with no coding region annotated. The transcript has 10 exons. The record is from RefSeq and is a predicted model, not a curated record. Lineage: Eukaryota; Metazoa; Chordata; Actinopteri; Cypriniformes; Cyprinidae.
UCCAAGGACACCAAAAUCAGACAACGCAACGAGUGGACCAUGUUAACUGUGAAAAAUAAUUCUCGAUUAUAAAUUAGUACUUAAGUUAAUUAAUUCACAUACGGAGCCUUAACAAUCCAAAACAUUUCCACCAUGGACCUGCUUCAUCUUUACGAAUGGAUCGAUUUAAAGAUUAUUUUUAUAUUUUCGUGUAUGUUUUUAUUCCUGAGCGAUUAUAUCAGAAAUAAAGUGCCGAAAAACUUUCCUCCUGGACCAUGGUCUUUACCUAUUAUUGGAGACCUUCAUCAUAUCGAUCACAAGAAAAUUCAUCUUCAGUUGGCAAAGUUUGCAGAAAAAUAUGGAGACGUUUUAAGCAUCAGAUUUUUCGGACUAAGAAUCGUUGUGUUGAACGGGUACAAAAGAGUAAAGGAAGUGUAUGUACAACAAGGCGAAAACCUCGUAGAUCGACCCAUGUUACCUAUGAUUUACGACGUCUUUGGAGACAAAGGUUUAGGUAGCUCCAGUGGAUAUAAAUGGAAACAUCAGAGGAGAUUUGCACUCUCAACUCUUAGAAACUUUGGAUUGGGAAAGAAAAGCCUGGAGCCGUCUAUACAUCUUGAAUGUCGCUUUCUGAAUGAGGUCAUUUCAAGUGAGAAUGGUCGACCCUUUAACCCUCAAAUCCUGCUAAACAAUGCUGUCUCAAAUGUGAUCUGUGUGCUUGUGUUUGGUAAUCGAUUUGAGUACAGUGACAAUGACUUCCAGAAUAUGUUGAAGAACAUCAAUGAGGCUAUGUAUCUGGAAGGAAGCAUCAGCGUUCAACUGUAUAACAUGUUUCCAUGGCUCAUGCGGCUACUGCCUGGACCACACAAAAAAAUGUUUGCUCUGUGGCAAAAGGUGAUUGACUUUGUUAGAGAGAAGGUAAAUACACACAGAGUGGAUUAUGAUCCAUCAAAUCCUCGAGACUACAUUGACUGCUUCCUUGCCGAGAUGGAAAAACUUAAAGACGACACAGAGGCUGGGUUUGAUGUGGAGAACUUGUGCAUCUGUACUCUGGAUCUGUUUGUAGCGGGAUCUGAGACAACCUCCACUACUCUGUACUGGGGUCUUCUCUACAUGAUAAAAUAUCCUGAGAUACAGGUCAGAGUUCAGGAGGAGAUUGAUCGUGUUGUGGGAGGAUCACGACAGCCAUCUUUAUCAGACAGAGACAACAUGCCCUACACCAAUGCAGUCAUUCAUGAGAUACAGAGGAUUGGAAAUAUUGUCCCAUUAAAUUUGCCCCGAGCUACUGUGGAAGACACUCAGAUAGGACAAUACUCCAUUCCAAAGGGUACAGCUGUGAUUGGCAGUUUGACAUCAGUGUUGUUUGAUGAGUCUGAGUGGGAGACACCUCACUCUUUUAACCCGGGUCACUUCCUGGAUGCUGAGGGGAAAUUAAGAAAGAGAGAUGCCUUUUUACCUUUUUCUCUAGGAAAGAGAGUGUGUCCUGGGGAGCAACUGGCACGAAUGGAGUUGUUCCUCUUUUUUUCCUCUCUGCUGCAGCGCUUCACUUUCUCUUCACCAGCAGGUGUAGAGCCCAGCAUGGAUUACAGACUGGGCACCACUCGAUGUCCCCAACCAUAUAAAUUAUGUGCAUUGUCACGUUAAGACAAUCUAUUCAUACAAACAGGUGUUUGUGUAAUGCUUGUGCCUCUGUACAGUAUAUAUGUACCAUAUAUGAUUUGAUAAAGUAAUAGAAUUUAUUCUAAUUUACUUUGGAUAAGAAACCAUUUGGAAAAUAUUAGUGAUCGACCGAUAUUGGUUUUUUAUAACCGAUACCGAUUAUUUGCAUGUUUAUGUACCCGAUAACCGAUAUGCAGAACCAAUAUUUAUUUACUGUUAUACUUCUGUUUCUGACAAUUAUUACAACACAAAUGAGCUGAAAAAAACAUUUUAUUUAUAACAAUCACUCCCCCCUUGCAUACAAAAAAAAAAAAACAUUCUAUUUAUACACAAAUAAAUAGAGGGGUCUGAGUCCAAAAAAUUUAAGCGCACUGUUACUAAGUGUCUUUGUUUUAAAAUAAAAGCUUUAAUGAGGUAAAAAAAUAAAAACAGGUAAAAAAAAUAAAGCACAAAAAUGAUUCUAACAUAUUGGUGGGGGCGGGAGGGCUAUUUAGGAGUGCAUAGCUAUUUACUCCCAGUUAAGCAGAACUAGGUUUUAGUGUAGAAAACAGAGUCUUUCAGCAUUCUGCCCUGUAAGCCUGCUUCCUUCAAAAAUGUCAUGCAGUGGCCGUGCUUGAGGCUUCCUGAUCAUCAACCCAGUCAGGUGCUGAGCAAUAUGAACGAACUUUUUUUCCCGAGACUAUAUAAAGUUAAACAGCACUUGUCAGUUGGCAUUUUAUGAUAUAAAUUUAAUCUAACGUUAGAUCAUGAAAUGCCAACUGACAAAGUGCUGUUUGACUAUAAUUUAAUCAACCGCGAUCGCGCAUGGAGAUAAUAAAUAAUUAAUUUCCACAAAGCGGUAGGCUAUAUUUAUAUGUGUAUUAGCGAAAUAAUUGUUAUGUAGUAAAUGAUAAUAUAAUCUAGGGUGUUUAAACAAGAUAAUCUUGUCAAAAGUUUCAUUCAGUCGCCGUGCUUAAGCCUCCAGAUCAUCCGUCAGUUGCUAAGCAAUAUGAACAAACUUUCUCUUCUAGACUAAUGGUGAGCAAAUACAACAGAUAGAGAAUUAAAUUCAACGCUUUUAUUUUCAACAUGCACUCAUUCAUGUCUGUUUUAUUUAAUUCAUGUAAAGAUACGUCUUUAUUGGGGCAGGACAUGAUGAAUUACACUACGUGACUCAAUGAGUUCGUCUCAAUUGUUUAGAAACAAGCUGCAUAAAUUAACUAUAUCAGGAAUUUAUGUCUCAGAUCUCAUUUGUGCAUGUCUGUUAUGUUAAAUAAAGUUGAUUAAUUAAAGCAAACCAAGUAGAACAUAUAUUUACCUGUGCACUGAGUUGUUGUUGACUGAUCUCCUCAGACACCCGGGCUGCAAUGGCGGAAAUCUCAAAACGGCCACAAGAUGGCGCCGUAAAUCGGCGAAUACGAUAUUA